Molecule: non-coding RNA, 54 nt
Organism: Salmo salar (Atlantic salmon)
Lineage: Eukaryota; Metazoa; Chordata; Actinopteri; Salmoniformes; Salmonidae
Source: Rfam
UACACUCACUACUGUAAGUCGCUCUGGAUAAGAGCGUCUGCUAAAUGACUGAAA